RNAcentral lists this ribosomal RNA (497 nucleotides) under uncultured bacterium. RNAcentral's name for it is "partial 16S ribosomal RNA". It matches the Rfam family "Bacterial small subunit ribosomal RNA", at positions 28 to 507 of the family's 1533-position model. The record is from RNAcentral.
GAUGAACGCUGGCGGCGUGCCUAAUACAUGCAAGUCGAGCGAACAGACGAGGAGCUUGCUCCUCUGACGUUAGCGGCGGACGGGUGAGUAACACGUGGAUAACCUACCUAUAAGACUGGGAUAACUUCGGGAAACCGGAGCUAAUACCGGAUAAUAUAUUGAACCGCAUGGUUCAAUAGUGAAAGACGGUUUUGCUGUCACUUAUAGAUGGAUCCGCGCCGCAUUAGCUAGUUGGUAAGGUAACGGCUUACCAAGGCAACGAUGCGUAGCCGACCUGAGAGGGGGAUCGGCCACACUGGAACGUAGACACGGUCCAGGCUCCUACGGGAGGCAGCAGUAGGGAAUCUUCCGCAAUGGGCGAAAACCUGACGGAGCAACGGCGCGUGAGUUAUGGAGGUCUUCGGAUCGUAAAACUCUGUUAUUAGGGAAGAACAAAUGUGUAAGGAACUAUGCACGGCUUGACGGUACCUAAUCAGAAAGCCACGGCUAACUACGUG